UAGUUAGUCUAAAACUUAUUUCCUUGGAACACGUACACAUGCACACACACAAAUUGUAAAAAUAAAAUAAAUUCCGAGAUUCUCUAACGGGUUCGAGUAGACUGUAACGGAUCAAAGAUGUGCAGCCCGUGCUGUGGUGGAUGCUGUGGACCCUGUUGUAGCCCAUGCUGUGACUGUUGCGGACCAUGUUGUGCCCCAUGUUGCUCGCCCUGUUGUAGCCCGUGUUGCUCGCCCUGUUGUAGCCCGUGUUGCAGCCCAUGCUGUUCCCCAUGCAAGCAAUGUUGUUGUUCAUGCUGCGGACCAUGCGGCGGCGGGAAAUGUGGGCCGUGCUGUGGACCAUGCUGCGGACCCUGCUGCGGACCCUGUUGUGGUUCAUGCUGUGGACCUUGUUGUUCGCCAUGUUGCGGACCCUGCUGUGGACCAUGCUGUGGGCCCUGUUGCGGUCCCUGUUGUGGACCUUGUUGUGGUCCAUGCGGACCCAAAUGCAAAUAGACGGCCCGACACUCAACCUGGACUCAGAUGAACUGGACGCAGCUAAAGAGGGAGUGCAUAAACAACACCAAAAAUUCGUUGAAACCCGUUAGAGAAAAAUAAAUCUCAAACCUAAUACAAACUGAAAUCUGAAAAAAUUAAAAAUUUAUCAAUGCGAACUCUA
Molecule: long non-coding RNA, 655 nt
Organism: Scaptodrosophila lebanonensis
Lineage: Eukaryota; Metazoa; Arthropoda; Insecta; Diptera; Drosophilidae
Exons: 2
Source: RefSeq, a predicted model, not a curated record